CCUACGGGCGGCAGCAGUGAGGAAUAUUGGUCAAUGGACGAGCGUCUGAACCAGCCAAGUAGCGUGAAGGAUGACUGCCCUAUGGGUUGUAAACUUCUUUUAUAUGGGAAUAAAAUGUUCCACGUGUGGGAUUUUGUAUGUACCAUAUGAAUAAGGAUCGGCUAACUCCGUGCCAGCAGCCGCGGUAAUACGGAGGAUCCGAGCGUUAUCCGGAUUUAUUGGGUUUAAAGGGAGCGUAGGUGGAUUGUUAAGUCAGUUGUGAAAGUUUGCGGCUCAACCGUAAAAUUGCAGUUGAAACUGGCAGUCUUGAGUACAGUAGAGGUGGGCGGAAUUCGUGGUGUAGCGGUGAAAUGCUUAGAUAUCACGAAGAACUCCGAUUGCGAAGGCAGUUCACUGGACUGCAACUGACACUGAGGCUCGAAAGUGUGGGUAUCAAACAGGAUUAGAUACCCGGGUAGUC
Molecule: ribosomal RNA, 460 nt
Filed under: uncultured bacterium
Lineage: Bacteria
Description: partial 16S ribosomal RNA
Rfam family: Bacterial small subunit ribosomal RNA
Source: RNAcentral